This 819-nucleotide ribosomal RNA is filed under the name uncultured Campylobacter sp. RNAcentral describes it as "bacterial SSU rRNA". It matches the Rfam family "Bacterial small subunit ribosomal RNA", at positions 564 to 1380 of the family's 1533-position model. Lineage: Bacteria; Pseudomonadati; Campylobacterota; Epsilonproteobacteria; Campylobacterales; Campylobacteraceae. The record is from RNAcentral.
AGGGCGCGUAGGCGGAUUAUCAAGUCUCUUGUGAAAUCUAAUGGCUUAACCAUUAAACUGCUUGGGAAACUGAUAGUCUAGAGUGAGGGAGAGGCAGAUGGAAUUGGUGGUGUAGGGGUAAAAUCCGUAGAUAUCACCAAGAAUACCCAUUGCGAAGGCGAUCUGCUGGAACUCAACUGACGCUAAGGCGCGAAAGCGUGGGGAGCAAACAGGAUUAGAUACCCUGGUAGUCCACGCCCUAAACGAUGUACACUAGUUGUUGGGAUGCUAGUCAUCUCAGUAAUGCAGCUAACGCAUUAAGUGUACCGCCUGGGGAGUACGGUCGCAAGAUUAAAACUCAAAGGAAUAGACGGGGACCCGCACAAGCGGUGGAGCAUGUGGUUUAAUUCGAAGAUACGCGAAGAACCUUACCUGGGCUUGAUAUCCUAAGAACCUUAUAGAGAUAUGAGGGUGCUAGCUUGCUAGAACUUAGAGACAGGUGCUGCACGGCUGUCGUCAGCUCGUGUCGUGAGAUGUUGGGUUAAGUCCCGCAACGAGCGCAACCCACGUAUUUAGUUGCUAACGGUUCGGCCGAGCACUCUAAAUAGACUGCCUUCGUAAGGAGGAGGAAGGUGUGGACGACGUCAAGUCAUCAUGGCCCUUAUGCCCAGGGCGACACACGUGCUACAAUGGCAUAUACAAUGAGACGCAAUACCGCGAGGUGGAGCAAAUCUAUAAAAUAUGUCCCAGUUCGGAUUGUUCUCUGCAACUCGAGAGCAUGAAGCCGGAAUCGCUAGUAAUCGUAGAUCAGCCAUGCUACGGUGAAUACGUUCCCGGGUC